CAAAAAUAAUCAUUUUUAAUAACUAAUAAAAAUUCUAUAUUUUAAGACAUUUCUUAUAUGUUAUCAAUAAAGAUGUGUUCAUAAAUGGGAGCACUUUGGAAAUAAGAAAAUUGCUAGACAAAUACAAAAUAGUAUUGCCCACAAUAAGAAGUUAUGAUAAGAAAAAAAGGCCUAUAUGAAAAUAAAAAAUAAAAAUACACUGAGAAACAUAUUUUUAAACAUGAAAGGACAAAUAGGAAGAAUUUCAAAUUCAGAUAGAUUUUUAAAACCUUUUAUUUAUAUUUUGGUCUUACAAAUGAUUUAUUUUUAAAUUGACUUUUCUGUAAGAAUGUAAAGCACAAAAAUUUGCCGGAUAUCAGAUCCACACAAAUCCUCAGAAAGGUUUUCUGUGUAGUCUUCAUUAACGCGAAUCUUUGUGAAUGUUUCACUCUUACUGUAGAUCUUGAAUCUGUUUCAUAAUAAUGAAGCCAUAAAGUUUUUAUGCAGUGCAUUCAUUAUAAACUACAACGUUUCUAUUUAAAGGAAAGCUGGGUAAUACAAAAAUAUGAGCGGAUUGGAGGAGCAGGCAAUCUGUGGAGGCUAGAAUAUCUUACUUGCUUUGUAGUUUUCUGUCAUUACUUUCAAGGAGCACACAGCACAGGAAGCAUAGCAAUCAUCUCCCUUAAUAACCUCCCUAAUUUAAAAAUCUGUUGUUUGUAAAACUGGACCAAUUAUCACAAACUUUCAUUUGCAUAAUUAACCACAAGUCUAAUACAAACAUUUUGUUAGUGGUAUCAACAAAUGUAGGAGAAUGGAAAUUUAUAAAAAACAGGUUUGUUAAGCUUGCCAACUCCUUAGAUAUCAUGGGCUGUGCUGCCACUUCAACUUUUAAUCAGAUGUUCAAUGCCCCACAGGCAAAGACUGAGCAAUGGAAGGAAGCAAAACUAAAUUAUUUUCUAGGAGCUGUAAUAUUUCAUUAGAUACAAAGGUAACAAAAGGAUAGGACAAAAUUUAAGCAACUUUUAUAUGCGUUCCAACUUCUCACUCAGGAACUCUUCUACACUGUCUGUGUUCCAUUUGAGGAUGCUUAGUUCUUCAGCAAUGUUCCCAUUGUCGUCCAAAAGCUUUAGUACAGGGUCUGAACCACGAACAUACUACAAAAAAAGGGACAUCAUCAUUACUAUCUGCUUAGAAGAGCUUUGUCAGCCUCAACUGAGGUCCCAACCAAUUCAAUCCAGCUUAUCUACAUCUAAUGACCGUAUAAGGCCAAUGUUGAAAUAGGCUGUGCAUACACAUUAUCUGACAGAAUUCCACAGUGGACUUUAAAUUUGCUUUGGUUUAAGAAAUCUAAUGAUUUUGUUGUAAUAAGUUUAUAACGAGGCUAGACUCCUGAAACUUUACACCUACUAGUUGGGUCCAAUACUUCUCUAGAGAGCUCUGAGAAAUUCUUACUCUGGGUAAUUGUGACAAUAAACACAAUCCCAUUUGUUAAGAGAUCAGUCUUCACUGCUAGAUUAAGUAGAAUUACAUAACUAAAAAUGGAGCAGUGAUGAUGAAGGGAGCUCUGAGGACUUCUUUCAGGAAUUUAUGCUUCAGUUUUCUAGGUCGUCUAGGGUUAUGAACUCUAGAAAUGGAGACGAGGUCUGAUGUGACUAUUAGCAUUUGGUAUAUUCUCAACCCACCUGUGGAGUUUAGAAAUAUAGGCCCGCCAAGCUAAUGAAUCAAUAUCAUUACUACUUAAACAUUUUCAGUCAGGUUAUCUACAUAAAUUAUUUUUAAAUAUUUGAGUAUUUAUUCAAAAACUCAUUUUAGUCCAACAAAGAAAUAAGAAAUUACAUAGAAACUAGCUGCAAAAAUUCUCAACAAAAUAUCAGCAAAUCAAAUCCAACAAUGUAUAAAGGAAUUAUAUACCACGACCAAUUCAGAUUCAUUUCAGGUAUGCAAGGCUGGUGCAACAUUUGAAAAUGAAUUAACGUAAUCCAUCACUACAUGGCUAAAGAAUCUUAUGAUCAUAUCAGUAGAAACAGCUCCUGUCACAUGCUUCAACAUGGAUGAAUCUCAAGGAUAUUAUGCUACGUGAAAUAAGCCAGUCAUGAAAGGACAAUUACUGUAUGAUUCCACUCAUACGACGUAUUUAAAGUAGUCAAAAUCACAGAAACAGAAAGUAGAAAGGUGGGUGCCAUCGUCUGGGAGGAGGGGUGAGCAGGAAUUAGUGUUUAAUGGGCACCGUUUCAGUUUUGCAAACUGAAAAAAUUCUAGAGAUCUACUGCACAACAAUGUGAAUAUACUUAACACUGCUGAACUGCAUGCUUAAAAAUAGUUAAGAUGGUAAAUUUAAUGUUAUGUAUUUUUUCUUACCCCAAUUAAAAUUAAAAAAGUGGGCAAAAUAUCUGAACAGACACACCACAGAAGAUAUACAGAUGGCAAAUAAGCUUAUGAAAAGAUGCUCAGUUAAGGAACUGCUCAUUAAAACAACAAUGAGAUAACACUACACACUUUGUAGAAUGGCUAAAAUCCAAAACACUGACAAUACCUACUGCUAAUGAGGAUGUGGAGCAACAGGAACUCUCACUCAUCUCUAGUGGGCCUGGAACAUGACACAGCCACUUUGGAAGACAGUUUGGUAGUUUCUUACAAAGCUAAACGUCUCACUACACGAUCCAACAAUUGUGCUCCUAGGUAAUUACCCAAAUAAGUUGAAAACUUAUGUCUACACAAAAAUUACACAAAAAUGUGUAUAGUAGCUUUAUUCCUAAUUGCCAAAAACUGGAAGUGACAAAGAUGCCCUUCCAUAGGCGAACAGAAAAAACAAACCAUAGCACAACAGAAUAUUAUUCAUAUUAUUCAGCAUUAAAAAGAAAUGAGCUAUCCAGCUACAGAAAAGAUAUGGAGAAACUUUAAAUGCAUAUUGCUAUGUGAAAGAAGCCAAUCUGAAAAGGCUACAUACUGUAUGAUUCCAACUACAUGACAUUCCGGAAAAGGCAAAAGUAUAGAGACAGUGAAAAGAUCAGGGGUUGCAGGGGUCGAGGGUUGGGGGGAGGUGAGGAGAGGAAUGCACAGGCAGGACACAGGGGAUUUCUAGGACAGUGAAACUAUUCUGUACGAUAGCGUGAUGGUGGAUACAUGACAUUAUACAUUUGGCAAAACUCCUAGAACUACACAAUACAAAGAAUAAGCCCUAUGCAAACUAUGGAAUUUAGUUAAUAAUAAUGUAUCAAUACUACUGGUUCAUCAAUUUGAACAAAUGUAUCCCAUCGAUGCAAGAUGUUAAUAAUAAGGGAAACUGGGGGGGAGUUGGGGAUAAGUAUAUGGGAAUAUUGUACCUUCACAUCAAUUUUUCUGUAAACCUAAAAUUGCUCUAAGAAAUAAAGUCUCUUAAUUUAAGAAAAAACCAAUUACUUACUCAAAUAUUUAUUUUGAUUCAAAAAACAAUAAAUUAAUGCUGGAAAAAGAGAUUCCAUUAAAAUCACUUUACCUUGAUUUGUAGUCCUCUGAAUAGUUUGGGUUUAUCACUCCUGACGAAAGCUAGAGAAGAAAACAAUUCAGAUUAUUCACUUUCAAAUCCAAGCUAACCACAAAGAUCAAUAGCAAAAGUAUAAAUAACUCAAUAAAUAAAACAUCAGGUCUUAUGGAAAAACUACGAAAAUUCAAACAGAUAUAAAUAAAUGGAAAGACGGAUCAUACUCUUCAAUGGGAAGACUAAAUAUUUUAAGAUGUUAAUUGUUUCAAACUAAUCAAAAUCUCAAAUUCCAAUGGGAUUUUGAGGGCCUAACAAAAUGAGAGUAAAGCUCAGCUAUAAGAGCAAACGUGUGAGAACAGGCAGGGCAGCUAGAAAAAGUAAGAUAUGAGAGGAGGAUUUGUUCAACUGUUUAUUAAUAUACUAUGUGAAACUGAUACCAGAAUAGAUUAAACAAAGAAACAGAUCAGGAAAUUUAGAGAGAUGAAAAUAUCUGUACCAAUUUUUUUUUCCUUCUUCUUCUCCCCAAAGACCCCCAGCGCAUGUUGCACAUUCCAGUUGUGACUGCCUCUGGUUGUGCUGCGUGGGACACGCAACCUCAGCAUGGCCUGAUGAGUGGUGCCAUGUCCGUGCCCAGGAUCCAAACCGGCGAAGCCCCAGGCCGCCGAAGCGGAGUGCACAAACUUAACCACUCGGCCACAGGGCCAGCCCUGUAUCAAUUUUUUAACACGGUAAAAGCUUUCAAAUCAGAGAGAGGGAGGUGGGAAGGGUGAGACUGAUUGUGUGUGUGUGCACAUCGAGGGUAUGUGUGUGAAUUAUUCAAUACACACGUUCGAGAAAACUGUCAAACUAUUUGGGAAAAUAUAGGACAACAGAUGGAUUAACAUUUUCAAUUCAUGCAACAAAUAUUUAUUGAAUACCUAACUGUAUGCCAGAGGGCAGAGGUAAGGCUAUAUAAAACAGACAUGAUUCCUCUCUUAUGGAGUUUACAGUCUGGUAGGGAAGAAAGAUGCUAAACUAGUAAUCACACAUCUAAUAAUUUCAGUCAUGAUAAGUGUUUAAAAAAAAAAAAGAGAGAGAGGUUCAACAUACUAACAUAGCAUUUAACAGGGACAACCUGAAUAUGGAAUAUAAAAUCUGUAAAGGAAAUGCUUUCCAGAUAAGCCCAUAUAAAAACGGAAACUUCAGGAAAGCAAAACACCACUACAAAUAAAAUUUAAAAGUAAAAAUGACAUACUGGAGAAAAUCAUCUCUAACAUAUAACGUAUAAAAGAGUUCUUACAAAUUAUUAAGAGAAAAUAAGUAGAGAAAUAGACUAGGACAGGAAAAUGUAAUGGGCAAAUACACAAACGGUCAGUAAACAUUUGAAAUAAAUGUUCACCCUCAAUCAAAGAAAUGUCAAAUAAAACAAUGAGGUACCCUCAGUCAGAGUGACAAAAAUUAAAAAGAGUAUUUAAGGUUAGAGAGAGGGUGGAGAGAAGGAUUUUGCUGGGGGUUAGUUGUGGAGGGAAUAUAAAUGGACACAGCCUUCCUGAAGGUAUUUAGUAAAAUGAACCGAAAGUCUUAAAAUGUACAUACUCUUUAAACUUGCAGGUCCCCUUCUAGGAAUUUCUUCUUCUUUUUUUUUUGCUGAGGAAGAUUUGCCCUGAGCUAACACCUGUGCCAAUUUUCCUCUAUUUUGUAGAUGGGCACUGCCACAGCAUGGCAGCUGAUGAGUGGUGUAGGUCCGUGCCUGGGAACCAAACAUGGGCCACUGAAGUGGAGUGCGCUGAACUUAAUCACUAAACCGUGGGGCUGGUCUUGGAAUUUCUUUAUUCUGAGGAAAUAAUUACACAAUAAGGCAAGACAGCCAGCCCUGGUGGUCUAGUGGUUAAGAUUUGGCACUUUUGCUGCUGUGGCCUGGGUUCAUCUACUGGUCAGGGACCCAUACCACCUGCCUGUCGGAGUGGAGCACUGAGCAGAGCAUUGUCUGAUAGAGCACCAGAAGGUGAGAGGAUGGCGCAAAAAGACUGGGCAGGGUUCCGCUCUGCUGUCCGUAGGGGCGCUAGGGGUGGGAAUCUACUUGAUGGCACUAGCAGUUACAACAAAAUGCAAGGUCCUGCUAACCAAGCCUGGAAAUUUGGAAAUAAUCUAAAUGUGUGAAAGGUUACUAGUUAAAUUAACGUGGACCAUCGAAUGCAUCCAGUCAUUAAAAACUACAUCAAUCUAUAUUUAGUGAUAUAGAAGCCAACUCACAUUACAUAUAAAAAGCAGGUUAUAGAUCAGUUUGUUUCCUACAGUUGUUACAAAAAGACGGAAAAAUGUUAUAUUUAUAUAUUUAUCCAUAAAUAUACAUCUGCAAAGGAAAAAGCCCAGAAGCAUUAAAAAAUCUUCAUUAAGUCAGAAAAUAUAAAAUACUUAGCACAAUACACAUAACAACUGAAAGAAAUGUUAACUUAUUUUAAUAGAGUGUUAUAUCUGGAGCACAUGGUUGAGGAAGUUUUAAAUGAAUGCUUUCCCUUUUUUGGGCUGCUGUUGAUUUGAAUUUUAGCAACUUUUUAGUAAUGAUCACGUCUAAUUGUCCAAGUUAAAAAAUUUAGAAUACAUCUUUCUAAAAUAAAUACAACUGAGACAUUUCAUUUAGAUCCUUGGUAGUUCUUAAUAUCAGUUCUAUGUUAUCAUUCUCUACUUAGAUUUUACAGUGACACACACCCUUUUGAGAACUUACUUUUUAAACUUAGAAUUAACUAGAAAUAGCACUAUAGACAUGUUUCAUUAUGAAGGUCUAUACUUGCAUUUAGGACAGCAAAACAAAGAUUAGUAAAUGGCUUUUUUUUAAGGUUUUGAGGACUUGGUGGAAGAGUCUCAGAUAUCCUACCUAAACUUCCAAUUCAGUUCAAAAUAAAACUGACUAUGUUAUUCUGGUUUAUGAGGAUAUCUUCUCUAUUAACUUUAUCCUUUAGGAUUUGUCCAAAUACUCUGCAGACCCCCAAGUCCCCAAACAAAAAUGAUCUUAUGAUAUCCUGAUGCAUUUUAUACCACCCCUUUGCCAAACGUGCUAUGUCAGCUGUGCUCACACACCCUUUACCACAGUGUGUUCCCUACUACAUAAGAAAUCUCUCUGGGGAAAAGAACUAUUCUUAUAUACUUUUUGUAUUCAUAACAGAGCCUAGAACAUUUAAUAACUUUUACUCACUCAACAGAUUUUUAACAGGCUGGAAUGAGUGAACAAAUUUAAAAAGAAUAUUAAGAUAAGUCACUAAUGACUAUUUUCA
This 6690-nucleotide long non-coding RNA is filed under the name Equus caballus (horse). Its description in RNAcentral is "lncRNA (ENSECAG00000057925.1)". The record is from RNAcentral. Lineage: Eukaryota; Metazoa; Chordata; Mammalia; Perissodactyla; Equidae.